GACGAACGCUGGCGGCGUGCUUAACACAUGCAAGUCGAACGAAGUGGCGAACGGGUGAGUAACGCGUAAUCAACCUGCCCUUCAGAGGGGGACAACAGUUGGAAACGACUGCUAAUACCGCAUACUGAAGGAGGGGAUUGCGUCUGUUUAGCUAGUUGGAGGGGUAACGGCCCACCAAGGCGAUGAUCAGUAGCCAGCCUGAGGGGGCGACCGGCCACAUGGAGACGGAGAAACGGCCCAGACGCCUACGGGGGGGAGCAGUGGGGGAUAUUGCACAAUGGGCGAAAGCGUGAUGCAGCGACGCCGCGUGGGGGAUGAAGGCUUUCGGGUUGUAAACCUCUGUCGCUAGCGAACGGGUAGGUGGAGAAGAAGCGCCGGCUAACUACGUGCCAGCAGCCGCGGUAAUUC
Molecule: ribosomal RNA, 408 nt
Filed under: uncultured bacterium
Lineage: Bacteria
Description: partial 16S ribosomal RNA
Rfam family: Bacterial small subunit ribosomal RNA
Source: RNAcentral